This 598-nucleotide long non-coding RNA is filed under the name Olea europaea subsp. europaea. The record is from RNAcentral. Lineage: Eukaryota; Viridiplantae; Streptophyta; Magnoliopsida; Lamiales; Oleaceae.
AUCACCUGCCUUGUCUAGUCCAUAUUUGUAUGAAUGAAAUAGGUUUGCUCACAGGCCAUCACCAAUGGCAUCCCAGCUGAGGGAAUUAUACUGUCUUGUUGGGGUCUCCGUCUUAUGGUCGAAGCCAAGAGCAUCAACAAAAAUCUGCUCCCAGGAGAAAUUUCAAACGAAAUCCACCUCCUUUUGACACGUUCAAACUCAAUGUUGAUGCUUCAGUUCGUGGCGAAGAGAAUUUCUUUACAAAUAGGGCAAUAAUUUGGGACAUGGCUUAGUGAUUGGCUCUCAAUACACAAAAUUCAAAGGAGAUUCAAGGUUGUAGAUGCUGAGGAUGGAGUCUAGGGCUUUGAAUUAUUGAAUCAAAAAGUGACUGCCUCCAUGCAUACUCCCUUCUACGUUGGAUCACUUCACUUCUGGUGAAAACUGGUAGUGACACGUGUAGCUUCAUUCCUCUAGAGAGAAACACGGCUACGUACGCCAUUGCCUCAUUUGUUACUUCUAAUUUAUCAUUUCACUCAUUGACUAAUUGUAUGCCAUGUUUUUUUGAGCCUGAUUGUUACUCGGGGUAUUGCAUAAUGAAUAUGGUUACUGUUUGGUAGGG